AUGCAAGUCGAACGGCAGCGCGAGAGAGCUUGCUCUCUUGGCGGCGAGUGGCGGACGGGUGAGUAAUAUAUCGGAACGUGCCCAGUAGCGGGGGAUAACUACUCGAAAGAGUGGCUAAGACCGCAUACGCCCUACGGGGGAAAGGGGGGGAUCGCAAGACCUCUCAGUAUUGGAGCGGCCGAUAUCGGAUUAGCUAGUUGGUGGGGUAAAGGCUCACCAAGGCAACGAUCCGUAGCUGGUUUGAGAGGACGACCAGCCACACUGGGACUGAGACACGGCCCAGACUCCUACGGGAGGCAGCAGUGGGGAAUUUUGGACAAUGGGGGAAACCCUGAUCCAGCCAUCCCGCGUGUAUGAUGAAGGCCUUCGGGUUGUAAAGUACUUUUGGCAGAGAAGAAAAGGUAUCCCCUAAUACGGGAUACUGCUGACGGUAUCUGCAGAAUAAGCACCGGCUAACUACGUGCCAGCAGCCGCGGUAAUACGUAGGGUGCAAGCGUUAAUCGGAAUUACUGGGCGUAAAGCGUGUGUAGGCGGUUCGGAAAGAAAGAUGUGAAAUCCCAGGGCUCAACCUUGGAACUGCAUUUUUAACUGCCGAGCUAGAGUAUGUCAGAGGGGGGUAGAAUUCCACGUGUAGCAGUGAAAUGCGUAGAUAUGUGGAGGAAUACCGAUGGCGAAGGCAGCCCCCUGCAAUAAUACUGACGCUCAGACACGAAAGCGUGGGGAGCAGACAGGAUUAGAUACCCUGGUAGUCCACGCCCUAAACGAUGUCAACUAGCUGUUGGGGCCGUUAGGCCUUAGUAGCGCAGCUAACGCGUGAAGUUGACCGCCUGGGGAGUACGGUCGCAAGAUUAAAACUCA
RNAcentral lists this ribosomal RNA (858 nucleotides) under Alcaligenes faecalis. RNAcentral's name for it is "bacterial SSU rRNA". It matches the Rfam family "Bacterial small subunit ribosomal RNA", at positions 55 to 903 of the family's 1533-position model. Lineage: Bacteria; Pseudomonadati; Pseudomonadota; Betaproteobacteria; Burkholderiales; Alcaligenaceae. The record is from RNAcentral.